This 483-nucleotide ribosomal RNA is filed under the name uncultured bacterium. RNAcentral's name for it is "partial 16S ribosomal RNA". It matches the Rfam family "Bacterial small subunit ribosomal RNA", at positions 28 to 507 of the family's 1533-position model. The record is from RNAcentral.
GACGAACGCUGGCGGCGUGCUUAACACAUGCAAGUCGAACGCUGAAGCCCAGCUUUUGUUGGGUGGACGAGUGGCGAACGGGUGAGUAACACGUGAGUAACCUGCCCCCUUCUUUGGGAUAACGCCCGGAAACGGGGGCUAAUACUGGAUAUGCACUGCUCUUGCCUUGUGGGUUGGUGGAAAGGGCUUCUCUGGUGGGUGAUGCGCUCGCGGCCCAUCAGCUUGGUGGUGGGGUGAUGGCCGACCAAGUCUCUGACGGAUAGUCGGCCUGAGAGGGUGACCGAGCGCGUUGGGGCUGAGAUACGGCCUAAGAUCCUACGGGGGGCGGCAGUGGGGACUAAUGCGCAAUGGGCGCAAGAAUGAUGCAGCGACGCCGCGUGAGACGUGGCGUCCGUCGGGUUGUGAACCUCUUUCGCACAUGGUCAAGCCGCGACAAUGGUUGUGGUGAGGGUAGUGGGUAAAGAAGCGCCGGCUAACUACGUG